This 28-nucleotide small RNA is filed under the name Bombyx mori (domestic silkworm). RNAcentral's name for it is "ovarian small RNA-21813". The record is from RNAcentral. Lineage: Eukaryota; Metazoa; Arthropoda; Insecta; Lepidoptera; Bombycidae.
UAGAAGCUACUUAUCACAGUCGAUGGUA